Molecule: long non-coding RNA, 522 nt
Organism: Mytilus californianus (California mussel)
Lineage: Eukaryota; Metazoa; Mollusca; Bivalvia; Mytilida; Mytilidae
Exons: 2
Source: RefSeq, a predicted model, not a curated record
UAUAAAACGUUCAUUACUCCAGUUUUGAUAUUAGACCUCUAAGUUGCAUACAUAUAUGUUGUUCAUUAAGGAAGAUUUCCGAAGAAUUACUAUGUCAAUACUGAGUUUAACAGCACUGAUUGGUUUGUUUGUUGGUAUUACUUAUGGAUUGAGUGACAGAAUGAUUUAUGACACCUCUGCACAGGCCAAGUGUACAGAGAUCACAAGAGAUCCCACGAGGGACUGCAGAUGGUCUGCAGGGAUGAAUAUGCAGGUGGAUCAGGUCGCAGUUGGGAGAAGAUUGCUGCAUACAAAAUUCGAUGGUUUAGUGGUUCCUGGAGUGGCUGGUACGUGCCCGGGUACAACGACAUAGACUGGAAAAUCAACACUAACAACAAAAGAUGUUCAAUGCCGUGCAAAGCCAACAGUCUUAGACGGGUGUGGUCAUAUUUCGAGGACCACACACACAAAUUUAUAGUGUACAAGGCUUAGAAAUUCUGGACAAAAGAUCCAUUUAAACAUAAAUCAAAGAUCUAAUAUUUA